Long non-coding RNA from Ictalurus punctatus (channel catfish), 957 nucleotides. Lineage: Eukaryota; Metazoa; Chordata; Actinopteri; Siluriformes; Ictaluridae. The record is from Ensembl.
GGAAACUAUCAGCUUUUAAACGUCUUUCUACCCACAAGAUCUGUAAGUUUGUACUGUAUUGGUCUGUGUUUGAGCGCCAUCUGGUGGACAGACGCCAUUUUGAAUUGAAACUCGUCCGCCAUCUUGUAAUUGAGGUGAACGAGGAGAAAGUAGUGCCGAUGUUCAUCUCACUACCCAAAUUGAACUUGUAUUCUUUCACUGAAAAUAGUACCUUGUCUUAUGUUGAAAAAAAAAUAUUUGACUUUUGAUUUUUAAAUAUCAGUCCCUAUAAUAUGGAAUAACGACCAAAUCAAAGAAGAAUAAAACAGAAUCUAUAAAUAAUUAAUCUAAUUGGGAUGUUAAAAUAAAGGUGAUAAACGUGGCGCGGAUUGAUACAUGUCGGAGAAGAGGACAGCGCGAGGCGGACGGUUCAAUUGAGCUGUUCGUCAGGAGUGUACAGUCACGGUUAGCAUACCAUGAAGAUCCUCGGGCAUAAUCUUAUGACCUCUUUAAGAUGCAGAAGAAGACGACAUUCCUCAGACAUCUUGGUGCAGUGAUACCAAAUACCAGUGUAAGGAAAGAUUUCUUUACAACACCAUAGAAACACUCUACUGACUUCUUAAAACAUAUCAACAGUAAAAAUGGCAAGAGGAGGGGAAAAAAAAGCUAUUGCUAUACAGCACAUGGUAAGUGAAAAAUGUGUGAUGUGAUAAAACUUGUAAAUGAAUUAGGUUGAAAGGUCUGGAAGGAUCAUCUUCAUUUGUAUGCUACUCGGGCAACCAGUCAAGACAACAGUGUUUUGAAUUACGUUGCUGGUGGCAACGGUUGUCAAGGCAACAUUGGAGAUUAUAACUUUGUACAACAUUGUAAUUUAUAACAGUAAAUCAGAAUGAUAAGUAGAUCAUUUUAUGCCAGCCUAAUAUUUUGGCACUCUGUAGAGUAAUGUGCAUUUUGCACUACUCUAAACAUUUUUCUGAG